GUCGAGGGGCAGCAUGGUCUUAGCUUGCUAAGACUGAUGGCGACCGGCGCACCGUUGAGUAACACGUAUCCAACCUGCCGUCUACUCUUGGACAGCCUUCUGAAAGGAAGACUAAUACAAGAUGGCAUCAUGAGUCCGCAUGUUCACAUGAUUAAAGGUAUUCCGGUAGACGAUGGGGAUGCGUUCCAUUAGAUAGUAGGCGGGGUAACGGCCCACCUAGUCUUCGAUGGAUAGGGGUUCUGAGAGGAAGGUCCCCCACAUUGGAACUGAGACACGGUCCAAACUCCUACGGGAGGCAGCAGUGAGGAAUAUUGGUCAAUGGGCGAGAGCCUGAACCAGCCAAGUAGCGUGAAGGAUGACUGCCCUAUGGGUUGUAAACUUCUUUUAUAAAGGAAUAAAGUCGGGUAUGGAUACCCGUUUGCAUGUACUUUAUGAAUAAGGAUCGGCUAACUCCGUGCCAGCAGCCGCGGUAAUACGGAGGAUCCGAGCGUUAUCCUGAUUUAUUGGGUUUAAAGGGAGCGUAGAUGGAUGUCUAAGUCAGUUGUGAAAGUUUGCGGCUCAACCGUAAAAUUGCAGUUGAUACUGGAUAUCUUGAGUGCAGUUGAGGCAGGCGGAAUUCGUGGUGUAGCGGUGAAAUGCUUAGAUAUCACGAAGAACUCCGAUUGCGAAGGCAGCCUGCUAAGCUGCAACUGACAUUGAGGCUCGAAAGUGUGGGUAUCAAACAGGAUUAGAUACCCUGGUAGUCCACACGGUAAACGAUGAAUACUCGCUGUUUGCGAUAUAC
Molecule: ribosomal RNA, 784 nt
Filed under: uncultured bacterium
Lineage: Bacteria
Description: bacterial SSU rRNA
Rfam family: Bacterial small subunit ribosomal RNA
Source: RNAcentral